GACGAACGCUGGCGGCGUGCUUAACACAUGCAAGUCGAACGGAAAGGCCCUGCUUUGGGGGGGUGCUCGAGUGGAGAACGGGGGAGUAACACGGGAGUAACCUGCCCUCGACUUUGGGAUAACUUCAGGAAACUGGGGCUAAUACCGGAUCGGAGCCCCCGCCGCAUGGGGGGGGUGGGAGAGUUCCGGCGGUUGGGGAUGGACUCGCGGCUUAUCGGCUUGUUGGUGUGGUAGUGGCUUACCAAGGCUUUGCCGGGUAGCCGGCCUGAGAGGGUGGACGGCCACACUGGGCCUGAGCUACGGCCCGGACGCCUAGGGGGGGAAGGAGUGGGGAGUGGUGCACAGUGGGAGGGAGCCUGCGGGAGCAACGCAGGGUGCGGGGUGGCGGACUUCGGGUGGUGAUGCGGUAGGGCCUGUGACGUGGCGUGAGUGACGUUACUGGGUUAAGAAGCACCGGCUAACUACGUG
RNAcentral lists this ribosomal RNA (468 nucleotides) under uncultured bacterium. RNAcentral's name for it is "partial 16S ribosomal RNA". It matches the Rfam family "Bacterial small subunit ribosomal RNA", at positions 28 to 507 of the family's 1533-position model. The record is from RNAcentral.